UCAUGGAUAUUUUGGCCUUGAGAUUGGUGG
This 30-nucleotide non-coding RNA is filed under the name Rattus norvegicus (Norway rat). The record is from RNAcentral. Lineage: Eukaryota; Metazoa; Chordata; Mammalia; Rodentia; Muridae.